CAAAGGGCUGCAUUACACUAAAAAGUCAAAUCAUUUCCUCAGCCCCUUUUGAAAUCAAGAAUGGAGAUAACAUGUGCACUUGUCUGUGAGAUCUUACUAGCAAUCUUGCUUCCUCCUCUUGGUGUUUGCCUUCGCAAUGGUUGCUGCACUGUAAGAUCCCCUUUUACCUAAAUUUGUUUUGUAUAUAUAAAAAAGAUCUCAUUUUUAAUUAUUACUUGUAGUUUCUUUGAUUUGGGUGAUUAUUUUUGUGGAUGAGCAGAAAAGGGUGUUUGAGUAUAGGGUUAAUUGUUUUAGGGGAUUUAGUGAUGUGGGGUAUUUUUACUUGGUCUUGAAAUUGCAAAAAGAUUCAAUUUUUAUGAUUUUUUUGGUUGAAAUUUUGAAUUGGGUGAUUGUUUUUGAGGAUGAACUAAAAAGGGUGUUUGAGAAUAAGGUUGAUUGUUUUAGGGGAUUUUAGUGAUGUGAAAAGUUUUUCCUUCUUGAAAUUGCACAAAAGAUUCAAUUUUUAUUGUUAAAACUUUGAUUGGUUUUUGAGAUGAACUGAAAAAGGGUGUUUAGGACGUGGAUCACUUCUUUUAUGGGAUCUAGUGAUGAUUUCUAGCUAAAGUUUUGAAAAAAGAUUCAAUUUUUUUGUAUAAACUUUGAUUUGGGUGAUUGUUAGGGUGUUUGAGAAUUGAGUCAAUUGUUUUAGGGGAUUUAGUGAUUUCUUUUCUGAAUCUUUUUCCAGGUGGAGUUCUUGAUUUGCUUGGUAUUGACCAUAUUGGGCUAUGUUCCUGGAAUUAUCUAUGCUCUCUAUGCAAUCCUCUUUGUUGAACGUGAACCAAGAAGGGAUUAUUAUGACACUCUUGCUUGAUCUUUGUUGAAUAUAUCAUUUCAGAUUGUGUGCUUGUUGUUUUGUUUUGCUUG
RNAcentral lists this long non-coding RNA (903 nucleotides) under Solanum lycopersicum (tomato). RNAcentral describes it as "long non-coding RNA (SLYC_LNC000367)". The record is from RNAcentral. Lineage: Eukaryota; Viridiplantae; Streptophyta; Magnoliopsida; Solanales; Solanaceae.